Molecule: ribosomal RNA, 437 nt
Filed under: uncultured bacterium
Lineage: Bacteria
Description: bacterial SSU rRNA
Rfam family: Bacterial small subunit ribosomal RNA
Source: RNAcentral
CAAUGGGGGAAACCCUGAUGCAGCCAUGCCGCGUGUGUGAAGAAGGGCCUUCGGGUUGUAAAGCACUUUCAGGUAGGGAGGAAGGUAGUGUAGUUAACACCUGCACUAUUUGACGUUUACCUACAGAAGAAGCACCGGCUAACUCCGUGCCAGCAGCCGCGGUAAUACGGAGGGUGCGAGCGUUAAUCGGAAUUACUGGGCGUAAAGCGCAUGCAGGCGGCCUGUUAAGUCAGAUGUGAAAGCCCCGGGGCUUAACCUCGGAAUUGCAUUUUGAAACUGGCAGGCUAGAGUCUUGUAGAGGGGGUAGAAUUUCAGGUGUAGCGGUGAAAUGCGUAGAGAUCUGAAGGAAUACCAGUGGCGAAGGCGGCCCCCUGGACAAAGACUGACGCUCAGAUGCGAAAGCGUGGGGAGCAAACAGGAUUAGAUACCCUCGGUAG